Motacilla alba alba is the source of this 8547-nucleotide long non-coding RNA. RefSeq lists it as uncharacterized. Lineage: Eukaryota; Metazoa; Chordata; Aves; Passeriformes; Motacillidae. The record is from RefSeq and is a predicted model, not a curated record. The transcript is spliced from 3 exons.
AAUAAAAACAAACAGGUGAGCUGGGAGGUCUCCAACCCAGCCCUCACCACUGGCCCAGCUUUAGCACGUUAGGGAUGUCUGAGGGCAAAGGCACAAAGGCAUUACCAGGGCUGUCCUACCCCAGAACGUUUCUCCCAGUGGUUACACGUGGCAAGGAGCCGGUGAGGCCCCAGCGCUCCUCAGCUGUGCCUCAGGAUGCAUCCUCCAGGGAGCACGGCAGCCCUGGUGAAGGAGGGCCAGCAGGGCUGCGGGUGGCAGAGACGGGGCAGCGCUGUCCUGGCACUGAGGAGCAGCCAGGGGAGCCCCGGGGCCGGGGGAGCCCCGGGCGGGAGCAGCAGCACGGAGUGGGAAUGGGAACGGGGAGGUUGCAGGGAGAGGCUGCUGGGGCUGUGCUGGCAGCGCCGGGGCUCCGCUCGGCUCCACGCUGACAUUACCAGCUUCCUGACUUUCAUAAGCACAGAAUCAGGUUUCAGGAUUUCACAGUAUGCCUGGUUUUGGACAUAUUAAGUGGGAUGUGUAGGGUAAAUAUUUAGUGAGUCGAGCAUCAAUUUAGCUGCAAUCUGCCAGUAAGGCCCUUUACAACACGCUGAAUGCCUUCCCUGGAAAUCACAACUCAACAUUAACAUACAAAUGAGGCGCUUGUCAGAUAGAAGCUGAGUGGAGCACUCUCCUCUGCAAGCCUAAUGGACAGCUGAACCAGAGAUGCCUGCUCAAAUUAAACUUUCAGUUACUCCAACAAAGUGCAGUUCGCAGUCACUCUAUUUCAUCAAGGCGUAGGGGAACCAAAACCAUGGAAGAAAUUCUCCAUAAGUACUUUGAGGUAGUUACUUACGAAAGAAUUCUUCUUCUGCAGUUUCAGCCCUCUGCAGGGAAGUUAUGGCUUUGAUAAAUUGCAGGUACAAUAAAUAUAAAUGCAUAUAAAUUACAAGAGGGUUUUUUUUUUUUCAUUGUACUUGGGAAUUUUUCUUGUCUUCAGAAGCGGAACUACUUACUGCCAUAUCUGCAGAGCCCCUACACUAGACAGUUUAGAUGGCACUAAUCACUGCAAGGGCAAUUGCCCCUGGAAAGCAGCAGAAUCCUCUAAAAGACCUGUCAUAUCCCAGAUUUCACCCAGUGACAGCAACCCAGUGGGAUUCUAGUGCAAUAUUAUGUCUGAUUUAUACCUGGGAAUGAAGCUGUAUUUAUCCAGCAUUUAAGAACAUGUCCACUGGUACAGAUGCCUAAUUACAUUCUGUCUGGCAAACUCGCUGGGCUCUGCCUGAUAACCUAAGCAGCCUCUCAUUUUACAUCAGAACAAGAAUACACACAGACACAGACACACACAUACACACACACCCAACUCUCCCCUCCUGCCCUGUGCUCUGUCCCAUUUAGCCCCAGGUUUUCCAGAUGUUAGAGCACAGCAAUCCACCUAAUUAGAAGAGAAAGAGGAUUGCCUUCCUUGCUGCAGCGCUGCCAUGCCCUGGCCAGGACCCAGGCUCUCUCCAGCAGGGGGAAACGUUAAAGAGAAUCUCAGCUGCCCCACUUGACACCAGCCACAGAACGCAACAGAGCGAGGCACCAAAGGAGCUGCUCGGCUCCUUCUGCACUUGGUAGAGGAUUUUAGAUACUGAGAUGCCCUCAACAGGCACCUGUCCCUUGGAACAGCCACGGUUUCUCCUCUCCAAACACAAGGAACUAAAACUAGGAUGUGAGUCCUUCUCACAAGGAUCUGAAAUACAAGCACAGUCUGGUGGAGAAGCCUCUAAAAACCUUCCUCUUUUCCAUGGCAAACUUGAGACCAUUAAAAUGCUCUAAGUAUUACCCAAAUUCUGCUCUUUAUCUCCAUUCAGCAGAUUUUUCUAUCCUUACCCCAUAACUAGAAAUCAUCUAUUAGUCCUGCUGAUGAGCACUCAGCUAUAUAACUUCAGACUGUCCAGAGGAGCCAUUACCUGGAACUGCAUAUGGAACAUUCCUCCACGAAGUGGAAAUUCAAGAUCUCCUGUCAAAUGCCAGUCUUUAAAGCACGGAUUCGUGCCUGGAAGGACAAGUUUCCCAUGGCAAGGUGCCCUCCAGGAAGGACAGCAAAAGAGAUGGAGGAGCUCUAACUGUUGAAAGACAGACUACCCAGAAGAUAAACAUAAUUACAGGCCAAUUCUUGCUCCUCUGCCAGUAUGAUGUGAGAUUGGAAAGAAGAAUCAGAGCCAAUGUCUCCAGCUAAAGCGCAGAAAGACACCAGGACAAAGCUUGUGUGGGUGUGCACAGGUAUCCUGCAGUCCAGCACUAUAAGCUUUAGUUUUAAUUACCCACAAAUCUUUGCAUAAAAGCAGCUGUUUCCCAGCCCUCUUCCAGACCCUGUGAACAAAGACCCUUUGGGGUGUGAAGGAUGUGUCUGUGUGGGGGUGUGAGUGUGCCUGUGCUGUUCUUUGCAUCCCCCUUUUCCCCUCUCACUCCUUCAGAGCAACGCUGCAGAAGUGCCACUGCUGCACUGUCUUGUUUUCAGAUGGUGUUUUCAUCUACUCUGCUUCAGAGAAUAAAUUAUUCAUGGAACUCUGAUGGGGACAAUUUCUCUGUGAGGAGGAUCAGCACAGGGCCAUCCCCAAAGCCCCAGUUGGUGCUGGAAGCUCCACCUGCAGAUGUUCCACAUGUGUGUCUUUAUAAAGCUCAGCUCAAGAGCCAGCAGCAGGGAAGGCAAAGCCUUGUGCCCUCAUCCUCUGCAGGCAGAGCCCUGGCACAGCUUGGGCCGUGGCUUUAGGGUUUCAUUCUGGAUUUACACCGUGACUGUCUUACCUCUAACUUAAGUUCACACACUGUUUAAUUAUGUUUAAUUACAACGAGCAUCCAAUAUGUUAAAAAUGCAGCUACCUUCACUUUUCCUGUCAGCAUGCAAUUAAAAGUAACUCCCAAUCUCUUUUCCUUCUUGCCAUUUUGUUCUGAAGGAACUCAGGACAAAUAUGAUUAUGGGCUGAGAUUUUUCCUAAAUAACAAUGGGGAUUUUUUCUGCAAAUUACUACUGCUUUUGAAGGAGCUCUAAUACUUUAAGCAGUGAUAAAGUGGCAGCUGUACAUGUUUAAUUUCUGAGAGCCACAGCAUAAUGCACAAGCAUUAAUCCCUCCAGCUGUCCAGUAAUUAAACAUCAUGUAAAGCCCAGAGGAUAUCAUUGCUGUGCUACCUUAUCUUAUUUAUGAAGGACUUGAAUUUGUUAAAUCUAGCAAUUCUUUUUUUCCUUCUUGGAAAUAAUUGUAAAUUCUUCCACCAUGGCAAGUGUACUGAAGUUACAGCUACCCUCUGUAAAAUGCCAGGAAUUUCAGACCAGCCAUGUUUCUUUUAAUCACAUAUUAAAAUAAUGGAUAAUGACAGUGCAUAAAUAUUUCUUUUACAGGCAUGACUGUGAUGCUGUGGGUUUUAACCCUGUUAAAAUUGGUGGGUUUCUCAGGGAGAAUGCAUGGCAAAAUCUGAUCCUUUGGGUUUGAUGUCCCUCUGAGCUGACUUAGGGACAGCACAUAAUGAAUGUUAAUUCAUUAACAGGCAGUGAGCAGAACUAACUUUGACAAAAGCACACAUUAAUCAAACUGUGAUGAAAGAUAAAAUCAGUGCUACAUUAUCACCAAGUUAGAAGGUCUCACUGGGAUCAGUGGAGAUCUGGAAUGGACUGGAUCAGUGUGGUCAAAUCCCAGAAGGGAGCACUGGAAGUGUGACUCAUGCAAAAUACAGGCACCUUUGGCUCACAAAAAAGAAAAGAGUGCUGGGACAACACGAUGCUCUUUAUAGUUACAGGACAAUGAUGAAUGACAAAACAAUUGACAAACUGCCGAUAGAAAGGUCACUUCAUGUGAGUGUAGGUGCAGGAGCAGAGUGGGGGAAGGUGACUUUAAAUCAGCUUUGCAAUUCCCCCCCUUCAGCCAGGUGGAUCUGCUGGAGGGAUGAACAGCUUUAGCCUGCUUUAAAUUCUGCCUUCAGCCAGUGGUUUCCAGCUGACCUGAGGGCUGUUAACCAGGGCACUGGCAAGAGCUGACUCUGUGUUCUGCACUUGGAACCUUGCAAGAAAAGCAUCCCUCACUUGGAGGGGCUGCUGCUUUUUUUGAGAGUGAGCCUGGAGCUGCGCCAGGAGAAGUGGGAAGUUCACCACCUGAGGAUCCUGGAAAUGAUCUAUUUACAUGGGAAAGCCUGUGAGAUGCCAUGGCAAGGACACACGGUUACAGCUGAGCACACUGUGCUUACUGUGGUUUCCCUUAAGAAUUAAAAAAACCUUUAUCCACUUUGUUCACUUUUAAUCUGGCACAUCAUAAUAUCAUAAGGCUGAAAAUCUAGAACUAAUUCUGAGAUACAUGGUCAGCAAUGAAAAGCCUGAAGACCAGAGUCCAAAAAAGAUGCUCUGGCUGACAAGGUUGUCACUGGCAUGAGGCUCCUGCAGGAAUUCCCAGGUCUCACCUCAGCCAAGGUUAGUGUGAGCAUGUCCAUUGCCUGCAAAAGUUCCCCAUGAUCGCUGUCUCUGUGCUACAGUUUAGGAGGAUAACCAGCUCAUUCUGCUAUCAAUAUAUUAAUGAAUUCAUCAUUUCACUGCAUCCAUCUGUUGGGAAAGGAGAAACUGGUGCACUUCCAACUCCUCAUCUGCAAGACACCAUUUCCAUACUGAGUGCAAGCAGCGGUUCAGGUGAGAACCAGUGACACAGCCAGAAGAGAUGGGGCCAGAGCCUUGUUCUCUGUGAGCAGCCCAGAGUCCUCUCAGGAGGGACAUGUGUGCACUAAAGGGGUUCAGUGCCAUUUCAGCUGGUGCAGGAUGGCAGCUCCUCUCUUCCAAAGCCACUCUCAAGUGCUCUCUGCAUUCCUGAGCAGCUGACAAAACACUGCUUACUGUCUCCCUCAGCAGAGAUUUAACGAGUUCUGCAGUAGUUGGCCAAGUCCAGACGGACCCUGAGUUGUGUUGCUUUAAUUACAGCCUCUCCUAUUUAAUUUCUCUUUUGGUCUCAGUAAACUCAGUCCUAAGCUUCUCCAAUCCAUUGUGAGAAAGGUUGGGUGCACUGGGAACAGAAAACCUUCACCAGGGAAAUAAGGAGGCUGCCAGCACCUCCAAGCCAGAAAAUUCAAGGCUACUAACCCUGACCUAUGACUACAACACACCUGGUAUUGUGAAGACUCAAAUUACUUCUGCUCAAAAAAACUGAAAAAUAAUAUUUUUCUUUUUAUAUAGUCUUAUUUUUAAAAAGGCAGAUAUUUGCAUUUUAAAAUCUGUGCACUGGAAGUCAGUAGCAUUCUUAAAGCCUGUCUGUUGGAAGUCAAUUAUUUAGGCAGACAGGCACUUAACUACCUAUGUGCAAGGAUUAAUACCUGCAACUAACCCCUGGUGCAACUCCAGCCUGUGCAGACACAAAUCUGGAUCCCUGAUCACUGGUGCUUUAUCCAUUGCAGGUGAAAGAAUUUCAGUUUCUAUUGCUUCCUUGACAAGCUCUUCCACAGGGUGAAAAUCACACCAUUGUCUCCUCAUUCAGAUUCUCUACUUUUGUCCCCAGGUCUCUGAACAGCUGCUUUGUCCCCCCAGUGUCUGCACUGGAUACAUUUCUCAUGGAUUCAAAAAGCAAGGAUAUCAUUCUGAGAGGAAAAAUCCAGCAAGAAUUACAAGGUUCAGAGCAGUAGCUGGAAAGGAAACUGCUGGAGGAGGAAGAACAAUAAUACACCUACACUGUCCCUAGAGUUUUGGAUGACUGUACACCAUAAUCUUUACUGUCCUCUCCUGCAGGAGAUCCUCCCUUAACUUGGCUGUGAACAUUCUGACACAGGAACAGGUCCUUGCACAGCCUCAGCACAACCAAGCUUUGCUCCUGGAUACCAGCACUAUCUUGUUACUGGUACAAACUACCCGUGCAGAAAUGCAGGCAUAAAUAAGGUUCAUAAACUCCAUAUUAAAUCCUCUUGAAGAAUUAUAAAUCCAAGAGCCAGUUAUUCCUAUCAAAAAGCAAGAGUAUAGACAGUUCAAACAUUUUUGAAGUGUCACAUGAGGUUGCAGUAAUAGCUUUGUUAACGUGGAUUUAGAAAGAGCUUAGGGGUUUUUCUUCUGGAUGCCCUCCCUCACACCAUCUUCAAGUCAUCAUCCACUUGUUUAUUGCACAUGCAGACUCUCACCACAGAAAUUAUUCUGAGCACAAAUAAAUCCCCUUCCAAACAUUUAUCCAGCAAGAUGUGUUAUUUAUAGACAAGCUGGCCAGCUCUGUGAGGAGUGCAGCCUCUGUGACAGGGUGCUGUGCUCCAAGGGGCUGCUGUGACAGGCAGUGCUGAAGCUUAUUGUACAAUGAGAAUAAAAACCUGAGUGCAGAGAUGAAAUUAACAAAACAAAGAGAAGAAGGGGUCUGAAGUGGUCAGGAUACUGUGUGCUGCUGAGAUAAGAGGAAACAGAGAAAGGAGGAUUCUAACCAGAGAAGAAAUGGGAAUGUUAACAGAGUAUCAGUGGACAGGCUUAGUGAGGUUUAUCAGAUUUGGAUAAGGGAGAGGAUAGCUAUCAAUCCUCCACAAGCUCCCUGUUGAAACAGCUCACACAAUUGUCCUCAUCCAUGAGGAAAAGACCUUCAUUUGACAGGCAACCUCCCUGAAAGUGCUCCCACUACAGCCAUUCAGCGGUGCCUCCUAUUUCCCUCCCAAAGCCACAGUUUUGACCUCUGAAAGAUGCUGAGUUGAGAUCUUGGGACUGAAAGCUUUUGAUGUUUGCAGCCACCCAGGAUGCUCCAAGUUCACCUGUCAAUGCCUUUUCCCCUGGUCCUCAUGCCCAUCCCACAGGCAGACUCAGCAGAGAUUCCCAGUGUGUGGGCAGAAUGCUCAGUCAUUAGAAACUGGUUGAGAGCUCCUAAUUCAUUUCUCACCAGUUACCUAGCAAACAUCAAAAUGUGGUAAUUUGUCCUUGGAUUAAUUUUUUUAAAGGUUUUUAAGAACCUGCACAAGCACUAAAACUGGAAGCUAACUAUGAGUAGAGAUGCUGAAACAUCCAGAGCAGAAACACUCAGCUAUUUCCAAAUCCAUUAAUAGCAUCAUUAUGCUGAAAUUAUGUGGCAUUCAGAACAUAUUUACAUGCAUUUUGGGGGUUACCUAAGGCUUUGAAAAAAAAAAGUUCAAAGCAAUUUCAAGUAGAUUUUUAUUAUAACUAAAAGACUCUGUGAGACCAUUCCCACUGGCGUGAGCAGCAGCAUUAAAUCAGGGGAGGCAGUCACCAGUGUAAAAAUUGUUCUAAUUUCACAAACUCAUAUCAGGAAAAUAGCAGUUACAAUUAUCUUCUGAAUUCGUUUCUAAUUCAAGCCUCCCAUUCAAAGAAAAAAAAAUGUACAUGCUGAAGAGAAAACACUUAAGAGUUUCACAUGGAAAACCAAUAAAAAGGAAAAUAAAAAAAGGACUAAGAAAAUAUACUUUUACAAAGAGAGUUAAAUAGUGGAACAAGCUGCUCACAAAGUAAAAGCUUUGAUAAUAUUUUGUUUGAUAAAGCUGAUGGCAAAGAAAUAAAUUUGUCCACAGCACUCCACUCAGAGCCACAGAAUGUUAAUGUAAAACAUAUUUCCUUAUACAGCUUCAAAGAAAAGAUAUAACGUGGAUUAUGAACUGGGCAGGAAUUAGAGCCCAAAAUCCAGCUUUCAAAUGAAGAAACUUCAGUUUGUGCUUGAAUUCAACCCUUUCACCAGUAACCUGCAAGUAAAAGUAACAUUGCUGAUACCACAUGCAACACUGGAAAUAUUGAGGGAUGGGUGAAUACAUAGAACUUAAAGAGCUUCUUAAAAGCCUGGGAUCAUUUGCAGAUGAAGAAUUUAAUAAGAACAGUAUUAGAAAUCAGAAAGGUGAUUUUACCUCUGCACAGACUGGCAAGACUGAUACUCCCUAAAUUCUGGUGGUCUGUAUAAAAAGAAAGUUGGAAAACCAACUGGAAUAGCAAAGGGAGCCACAAGAAUGAGUCAAGCAUUCAUUCAAAAGGGAAUAUUUGACAUCAAGAAGCAUAAAGAACCAAUAUAUUUGGUCUACCAAAAAGGCAGCCUGAGAAAUAGUUUGACCACACAGUGCAGGAGUUCUCACAGACUGAAAACACUGUUAAAGGGCUCUUUCAUUCAGCACAGAAAGGCCUAAUAAAAGGCAAUGGCCAUUUAGGGACUGAAUUUAAAACAGUUAUGGGUACAGAGUACAUCAUUCUCUCUCUGUCCAGUGAAACCAACAAGCCAUCAAUGUCCAGGCCUAUCUGUUCUACCCCAGCAGAAGCCAGCCUGAGUCUGUCCCCACUCUGCACAGGACACAGCAGGAACCUGCUGAGCUACCGCAGAGGAAGGUUUGGACCUGAUUUAAGUCCUUUCCAUAUCACCUGGGUGUUAACUCUAAUAAUAAUACUUAAUUCUUCACAGAGUCAUUCAUGCAUUCCUUCAUGCAUUCCCCAGCCAGCCCCAGCUGAAGAACCCUUCUUUCCUCUCUGGUUCUAGAAGUCACCACUUAGCACUGCAAAGGAGAGCGAGUCAUUUUGCUGGCAGGAAAAGCCAUCCCUUUCCAUGGCAUUUGUAACAGUCCCUCCAGGACUUUGGUAGUCCUACACAGAGAUGUUGCAUCUAUAUU